GGCGCCGUAGAGAAAUGGUAACUCGCCAGACUUCUAAUCUGUAGACUGCGGGUUCGAAUCCCGUCGGCGUCG
Molecule: transfer RNA, 72 nt
Filed under: Neurospora terricola FGSC 1889
Lineage: Eukaryota; Fungi; Ascomycota; Sordariomycetes; Sordariales; Sordariaceae
Description: tRNA-Arg (TCT) (tRNA-Arg-TCT-3-1)
Rfam family: tRNA
About the family: Transfer RNA (tRNA) molecules are approximately 80 nucleotides in length.
Source: RNAcentral